RNAcentral lists this ribosomal RNA (514 nucleotides) under uncultured bacterium. RNAcentral's name for it is "partial 16S ribosomal RNA". It matches the Rfam family "Bacterial small subunit ribosomal RNA", at positions 28 to 523 of the family's 1533-position model. The record is from RNAcentral.
GAUGAACGCUGGCGGCGUGCCUAAUACAUGCAAGUCGAGCGAACUGAUUAGAAGCUUGCUUCUAUGACGUUAGCGGCGGACGGGUGAGUAACACGUGAGCAACCUGCCUGUAAGACUGGGAUAACUUCGGGAAACCGAAGCUAAUACCGGAUAGGAUCUUCUCCUUCAUGGGAGAUGAUUGAAAGAUGGUUUCGGCUAUCACUUACAGAUGGGCCCGCGGUGCAUUAGCUAGUUGGUGAGGUAACGGCUCACCAAGGCAACGAUGCAUAGCCGACCUGAGAGGGUGAUCGGCCACACUGGGACUGAGACACGGCCCAGACUCCUACGGGAGGCAGCAGUAGGGAAUCUUCCGCAAUGGACGAAAGUCUGACGGAGCAACGCCGCGUGAGUGAUGAAGGCUUUCGGGUCGUAAAACUCUGUUGUUAGGGAAGAACAAGUACAAGAGUAACUGCUUGUACCUUGACGGUACCUAACCAGAAAGCCACGGCUAACUACGUGCCAGCAGCCGCGGUAA